CCCUUAGAUGUUCUGGGCUGCACACGUGCUACACUGGCAGGUUCAGCGAGCUUCAUGCCCUGAUCUGAAAGGAAUGGGAAAUCUUUUCAAAACCUGCCGUGCUUGGGAUAGAUGUUUGCAAUUAUUCAUCUUCAACGAGGAUUGCCUUGUAAGCGCACGUCAUCUGCGUGCAUUGAAUACGACCCUGUAUUCUGUACACACCGCCCGUCGCUCCUACCGAUUGAAGUUUUCGGUGAGUUGACAGGAGGAUUUUUUUGAAACUGGUUCGCCAGUGGAUUUUAGAUCCAAAUGCCAACGAAUCGAUGGCUUUAGAGGAAGGAGAAGUCGUAACA
RNAcentral lists this ribosomal RNA (332 nucleotides) under uncultured eukaryote. RNAcentral describes it as "partial 18S ribosomal RNA". It matches the Rfam family "Eukaryotic small subunit ribosomal RNA", at positions 1470 to 1796 of the family's 1831-position model. The record is from RNAcentral.